GGGCCCGUAGCCCAGUAUGGAUAGGGCGCCGGAUAGGCCAGCCGGCGGUCGUGGGUUCAAAUCCCACCGGGCCCG
This 75-nucleotide transfer RNA is filed under the name Candidatus Wolframiiraptor sp. EX4484-121. Its description in RNAcentral is "Thaumarchaeota archaeon ex4484_121 tRNA-Ala". It matches the Rfam family "tRNA". Rfam says of the family: Transfer RNA (tRNA) molecules are approximately 80 nucleotides in length. Their secondary structure includes four short double-helical elements and three loops (D, anti-codon, and T loops). The record is from RNAcentral. Lineage: Archaea; Thermoproteati; Nitrososphaerota; Candidatus Wolframiiraptoraceae.